UGGAGCGGCCGAUAUCUGAUUAGCUAGUUGGUGAGGUAAAGGCUCACCAAGGCGACGAUCAGUAGCUGGUCUGAGAGGACGACCAGCCACACUGGAACUGAGACACGGUCCAGACUCCUACGGGAGGCAGCAGUGGGGAAUUUUGGACAAUGGGCGCAAGCCUGAUCCAGCAAUGCCGCGUGAGUGAAGAAGGCCUUCGGGUUGUAAAGCUCUUUUGUCAGGGAAGAAACGGUAGGGGCUAAUAUCCCUUGCUAAUGACGGUACCUGAAGAAUAAGCACCGGCUAACUACGUGCCAGCAGCCGCGGUAAUACGUAGGGUGCAAGCGUUAAUCGGAAUUACUGGGCGUAAAGCGUGCGCAGGCGGUUUUGUAAGUCUGUCGUGAAAGCCCCGGGCUCAACCUGGGAAUUGCGAUGGAGACUGCAAGGCUUGAAUCUGGCAGAGGGGGGUAGAAUUCCACGUGUAGCAGUGAAAUGCGUAGAGAUGUGGAGGAACACCGAUGGCGAAGGCAGCCCCCUGGGUCAAGAUUGACGCUCAUGCACGAAAGCGUGGGGAGCAAACAGGAUUAGAUACCCUGGUAGUCCACGCCCUAAACGAUGUCUACUAGUUGUCGGGUUUUAAUUAACUUGGUAACGCAGCUAACGCGUGAAGUAGACCGCCUGGGGAGUACGGUCGCAAGAUUAAAACUCAAAGGAAUUGACGGGGACCCGCACAAGCGGUGGAUGAUGUGGAUUAAUUCGAUGCAACGCGAAAAACCUUACCUACCCUUGACAUGUCAGGAAUCCUGGAGAGAUCCGGGAGUGCCCGAAAGGGAACCUGAACACAGGUGCUGCA
RNAcentral lists this ribosomal RNA (832 nucleotides) under Massilia sp. Its description in RNAcentral is "bacterial SSU rRNA". It matches the Rfam family "Bacterial small subunit ribosomal RNA", at positions 222 to 1045 of the family's 1533-position model. Lineage: Bacteria; Pseudomonadati; Pseudomonadota; Betaproteobacteria; Burkholderiales; Oxalobacteraceae. The record is from RNAcentral.